Molecule: ribosomal RNA, 117 nt
Filed under: Carassius auratus (goldfish)
Lineage: Eukaryota; Metazoa; Chordata; Actinopteri; Cypriniformes; Cyprinidae
Source: RNAcentral
CUUAACGGCCAUACCAACCUGGCUAUGCCCGAUCUCGUCUGAUCUCGAAGCUAGCAGGGUUUGGGCCUGGUUAGUACUUGGAUGGAGACCGCCUGGGAAUACCAGGUGCUGUAAGCU